UUUUGAACUAAAUCAAACGGUAGCUUUCUAUUUUUUAUUUUUGCCUUGAAAAAACAAAAGCUAAUUUAGAGAAACUCAAGCAGACUUGGCUGAAUGGUUUAGGUUUCCUUGGGGAUUAAAAUUGCACAAGAAAACACCGAUGGCAUUAUGUUUUUCUUAAUCUUAAA
This is a long non-coding RNA of Hibiscus syriacus, 167 nucleotides long. RefSeq lists it as uncharacterized. The record is from RefSeq and is a predicted model, not a curated record. Lineage: Eukaryota; Viridiplantae; Streptophyta; Magnoliopsida; Malvales; Malvaceae. The transcript is spliced from 2 exons.